AGUGAUGCGCAAAGAGCUGGUUUUCUGUUCACAGAGAAAUAUCCUAACAACUCCAACUCAGCCACUUCAUCUCAAUAGACAACCCGAAUAUCAAGGCGUUAAGUUUCUUCUGGAUGCAGUUACAGUCACAGCUUACAAGCCAGCAGCUGUUGAUUUAUUGAGAUUUUCUCCUCUCUCUGUUACCUGACCUGCUGCCUGUGAACAUCCUGCGCAUAGAACCUUUAUCCCAUUCGAUGUAAUUAAACCGGCCAAUCAAAAAGACAGCCUGUUACAGCACUUGUCAUUAGAUUGACGCCAUGCAUGCCUUUGAAGAUCAUUUAUACAUACAAUUUAAGCAUGAUAGUCAAUAAGUGCCUGCGUUUGCUUCUUAAACGACCCGCAGUCCUGAGCAUUUACGAUGGAAUUCCUCAUCUUGAAAUAUUGGGAAGGCAGGAAAACGCCUGUCACUGUUAAGACAAAAAUGAGGGAAUGACAAAGAACAAUAAGACCAGCCAAGUCCUGUUAUCAGCCAAGUCCUGUGGCCAGACACGUCUUGUGGCCAGCCAAGUCCUGUUAUCAGCCAAGUCCUGUGGCCAGACACGUCUUGUGGCCAGACACGUCUUGUGGCCAGACACGUCUUGUGGCCAGCCAAGUCUUGUGAUCAGCCAAGUCCUGUGGCCAGACACGUCUUGUGGCCAGCCAAGUUCUGUGAUCAGCCAAGUUAUGUGGCCAGCCAAGUCCUGUGAUCAGCCAAGUCCUGUGGCCAGACACGUCUUGUGGCCAGCCAUGUCCUGUGAUCAGCCAAGUCCUGUGAUCAGCUUAGUUCUGUGGCCAGCCAAGUCCUGUGAUCAGCCAAGUUUUAGGAUCAGCUUAGUUCUGUGGCCAGCCAAGUCAUGCCACAUGCCAAGUGUUUUUACCAGCCAUGUCCUAUGACUAGCAACUUUGUCUCGUGUGUACAGUCUGAUUGUAUGGGAAGAAAAAUCUUCAUUUCAUAUUGUAUGGGUAUUAUGAUACUGACAGUUACUUGAUGAUUAAGUAUUUUGUUAUAUAUUGGUAAAUAGACCAAUAUGAUAAGGGGAAACUUAGUAAUAGCAGUAAUGUAAAGUUUUAUUUCAAGAGCAAAAUAAUGCAAGUACUGCUAUUGUGUCUGUAUUCAGAAACUGACUCUAUAUAGCUUUAUCCUGAUUAUCGUAAACAGACAGACAAAAUGAUUUUACAAUUGUUUUUUUUAAACAUUGAUUUUAAGCCUUCACAAAGUUGUUUAAAUAAUCCUGAUACCUUGGACAGUAUUUAACUUAUUUAUUGGCUUAACAAGACAUGUUUAUUUUUAGUUUUUACCUAUAAAAUAGCAAUAUGUGCUAGGUAAAAUAAUUGAUCAGAACGGUUCAUAAUUGUGAUGCUUCUAUUUUGAUAUGUCUGUCAUUCUGUCUGUGUACAUUUAUCAUCAGUUUGCUCUUUUGAGGCAGUAUUUUAUCAAGAAUUUCAUGUAGUGAUGUAACAGCAAAAUAUCAAAUAAUAAUUUGAUUUAUCCAAACUAUAUUAACCUUCUGUUAAUUAUCAAUUUAUUUAUUGACAACUGAAACUUUGUUUAAUAUAAACAAUAGUUAAGCGCGUUAUAAAAAUUGUGUGAAUGUACAUGCAUAAUAUUGCAAUAAUUGAUGCACACAUUUAGAAGUGCAUCUUAAUUGUAAUGAAGUUUGUUUAAUUAUUGAAAAAGGAUGCUUUCUUUGUUGAAAAGUAAUUCCUUCACA
This is a long non-coding RNA of Dreissena polymorpha, 1730 nucleotides long. RefSeq lists it as uncharacterized. The record is from RefSeq and is a predicted model, not a curated record. NCBI's taxonomy places the organism in Eukaryota, Metazoa, Mollusca, Bivalvia, Myida, Dreissenidae. The transcript has 3 exons.